This 2455-nucleotide ribosomal RNA is filed under the name human gut metagenome. RNAcentral describes it as "bacterial LSU rRNA". It matches the Rfam family "Bacterial large subunit ribosomal RNA", at positions 1 to 2320 of the family's 2925-position model. The record is from RNAcentral.
UGUUGCUUGCAAGGGCGUAUGGUGGAUGCCUUGGCAGACAGGACCGAUGAAGGACGUUUGAGGCUGCGAUAUGCCUCGGGGAGCCGCCAACAGGGCUUUGAUCCGAGGAUUUCCGAAUGGGGGAACCCACCGACCGUCAUGGGUCGGUACCGGCUUCGGCCGGGGGGUACGCAGGGAAGUGAAACAUCUCAGUACCUGCAGGAAAGGAUAUUCCGUGAGUAGUGGCGAGCGAAAGCGGAUGAUGGCCAAACCUUGCGCGUGUGAUACCCGUCGGGGGUUGCGCGCGGGGUGUUGCGGGAUCGCGUGCGCCGGCUCCGACGGGCCGGCCGGCAGUUGCAGAAAACCAUGUGUCAGGGGAACCGGGUUGAAUACCGGGCCGCAGAGGGUGAGGGCCCCGUACCUGAACGCGCAUGGUCUGCCGAUCGCGUCUCCCAAGUAGCACGGGUCCCGUGGAACCCCGUGCGAAUCCGCCCAGACCGUUGGGUAAGCCUGAAUAUUCCUGUCUGACCGAUAGCGAACGAGUACCGUGAGGGAAAGGUGAAAAGUACCCCGGGAGGGGAGUGAAACAGUCUCUGAAACCGUGCGCCUACAAUCCGUCGGAGCCCUUUUGUGGGGUGACGGCGUGCCUAUCGAAAAAUGAGUCUGCGAGUCAGUGGCAUGUGGCGAGCAUAACCCGUGUGGGGUAUGCGUAGCGAAGGCGAGUCUUAAAAGGCGUUUGAGUCGCGUGUCCUGGACCCGAAGCGGGAUGAUCUAGCCCUGAGCAGGUUGAAGCGCGGGUAAGACCGCGUGGAGGACCGAACCCACCUGGGUUGAAAACCGGGGGGAUGACUUGGGGCUAGGGGUGAAAGGCCAAUCAAAUUCCGUGAUAGCUGGUUCUCUCCGAAAUGCAUUUGGGUGCAGCGUCGGGUCAUUACGUCCCGGGGGUAGAGCUACUGGAUGCUUGCGGGCCCGUAUCGGGUACCAACAGCAACCAAACUCCGAAUACCGGUGACGCGUAUCCCGGCAGUGAGUCGGCGGGGGAUAAGCUUCGUCGUCGAAAGGGAAACAGCCCAGACCGUCGUCUAAGGUCCCGAAGCGUGUGCUAAGUGGGAAAGGAUGUGGAGUCGCAUAGACAGCCAGGAGGUUGGCUCAGAAGCAGCCACCCUUGAAAGAGUGCGUAACAGCUCACUGGUCUAGUGGUUCCGCGCCGACAAUGUAGCGGGGCUCAAGCACACCACCGAAGACGCGGCAGUAUUUUGUACUGGGUAGGAGAGCGUCCCAUGAGGGGCGAAGCGGCCGUGUGAACGCGCCGUGGACUUCAUGGGAGUGAGAAUGCAGACAUGAGUAGCGAGAGACGGGUGAAGAUCCCGUCCGCUGGAUGACCAAGGGUUCCAGGGCCACGUUCAUCGUCCCUGGGUGAGUCGGGUCCUAAGGCGAGGCCGACAGGCGUAGUCGAAUGGAUGAACGGGUCGAUAUUCCCGUACCGGCUUUCAGCCGCCAAAACCGAGGCUUGGAGUACUAACCUCCGGGUCCGGGCUUACUGCUCCUUCGGGGGCGGGAUGCCCUGGCCUGUUGGGACCGAUCCUUGUAGUAGGUCAGCGCAGGAGUGACGCAGAAGGGUAGCCGGCCGCGGAGGUGGUCUUCCGUGGUCAAGCACGCAGGGCGUGGGACAGGCAAAUCCGUCCCGCAUGGGUCCGAGGUGCGAUGAUGGGGGCCUUAUGGCCCGAUAUCCGGUGAUCCCGGCUGCCGAGAAAAGCUUCGGCGUCAGGCUCAAAGCCGCCCGUACCCCAAACCGACACUGGUGGUCAGGUAGAGAAUACCAAAGCGAUCGAGCGAAUCCUGGUCAAGGAACUCGGCAAAUCACUCCCGUUCCUUCGGUUUAAGGGAGACCCCCGAUGGUGAACACACUUGCUGUGGGAGCUUUUGGGGGUGGCACAGACCAGGGGGUAGCGACUGUUUACCAAAAACACAGGUGCAUGCGAAGGCGCAAGCCGCUGUAUAUGCACUGACGCCUGCCCGGUGCCGGAAGGUUAAGAGGAUCCGUCAGCCUUCGGGUGAAGCGGUGAAUUCAAGCCCCGGUAAACGGCGGUGGUAACUAUAACCAUCCUAAGGUAGCGAAAUUCCUUGUCGGGUAAGUUCCGACCUGCACGAAUGGCGUAACGACUUCCCCACUGUCUCGACCAGGAGCUCGGCGAAAUUGCAGUACGAGUAAAGAUGCUCGUUAAGCGCAGAAGGACGAAAAGACCCCGGGACCUUUACUAUACCUUGGUAUUGGCAUUCGGUGUGGAUUGUGUAGCAUAGGCGGGAGGCCGAGAGGCGCGGUCGCCAGAUCGCGCGGAGCCGUAAGGUGAAAUACCGCUCUGUUCGCAUUGGAUGUCUAACCUCGAACAGUCAUCCUGUUCAGGGACAGUGCCUGGCGGGUAGUUUAACUGGGGCGGUUGCCUCCCAAAGAGUAACGGAGGCGCCCAAAGGUCCG